CCUAUGGACUGUUAUAACAAAUCGUAGUAGCUUCGGCAAGGCGAGACAGGGUGAAGUAGGAA
The submitters of this non-coding RNA (62 nucleotides) gave its source as unclassified sequences. The record is from Rfam.